AACUGGUGUUUCUGAAAAGCAAAACAAAUACGUGGUUACAUGUUGGGGUUGGUAUCACGAUGAGUAUAAUGAAGAAGGUGAUUUUAAGAUCUCCAGAGAAGUACGCACCAUGAGGUAUUAAUCGGUGUACCAAUAAUGACAGAGUUUCAAAGAGGCACAUAGCCAAGGAAUUGGAGAUGGGAUUCAAGAUGUUUCACAGGAAUGUGUAUUUUGUGCUAUUUUGAUAUUGGAUGAUGAAUAUACUUCUAUGUAUAACUGUGUCGAAUUCAUUUGAUAUAUUUGAGGUCUUCUUCCCUGGGACUUCACGAUAAAUCGUAUGGUAUGCGUUGAAUUUGGCUUGAAACUAUACUCAAAAUUCAAGUGCAGCAAGCAUUUAUCGAUGUAUGCAUAGGAUGUGUGCAUAACAUCAAGACUUUUACAAUCAGUCUCACAUGGUGAAUUGCGUUAUGGAUUUUCAAAAGACGGCGGUGUAUUGAAUUUUUUUUUUAGGAUGGAUAUACAUGUAUUGAUAUUUUCCCGCGUUUCGCUAGUAUAGCGGGAAAAUGUUGUAUU
This is a long non-coding RNA of Saccostrea cuccullata (small rock oyster), 552 nucleotides long. RefSeq lists it as uncharacterized. The transcript is spliced from 2 exons. The record is from RefSeq and is a predicted model, not a curated record. Lineage: Eukaryota; Metazoa; Mollusca; Bivalvia; Ostreida; Ostreidae.